This 2886-nucleotide long non-coding RNA is filed under the name Solanum lycopersicum (tomato). Its description in RNAcentral is "long non-coding RNA (SLYC_LNC000222)". Lineage: Eukaryota; Viridiplantae; Streptophyta; Magnoliopsida; Solanales; Solanaceae. The record is from RNAcentral.
AAAUUUUGAAAUACCCUUGGAUUUGGUCGAUUCUAUCCUCACCUCUUCCUUUAGGAAAACCCAAAUCCUCCUCUAUAUAUCUCUUUCCUAUUCACUAUUUUAGGGGAGUUAGGGGGAUUUUGAUUUUUUAGGCAAAGGAUUUUUUUUGAGUUUCUUAAAAAAAGAGCGAGCAAUUUUUUUCUUUGGAAUUUAACUCCUUCAAGUUUGUUUACAACUAGCUGGAGGACACUGAUACAACUGGAACUUGGGAAAAAGGAGUUUGAUUUUUCUAGUUGAAUUUUUUGUUGGAAAAUCCCUUGAGUAGGAAUGUCAAGAGCUGCUAAGAAAAUAGUAUAGAAACACGAUAAGAUGUUCGAAACAACGUUAUGUUCUAGUUCUCCGUCGAGAUAUCACACAUUCCUUCUAGUUGCGUCGUGUCCUCUCAAACUCCGUUUUAAGUCGAGCUUUGUGGUCGGAAGAUCGUGUUUGUUCUCCAUCUCGCUGCACUCGAAAAGGUAAAACAUCCCUCCGUUUCAUUUUCUUCUCACCCCUAUCUUAGUGUCACAAUAAUUGUUUAAUGCUGAAGAGUUUUGUUACAUGGUUGCUCGCUGUUAAUAUCUGUUAUUUUGUUGACCUAAUUUGUAUUGUUUUCUUAGCCUUUUUGACCAAAUAGAGAUAGUGCUCGUGUUGAAGUAUCGUGAAACCUUGCUUAAUGUUUCCGUCUCUCUAUUUCACUUGGCUUUAAGUUCACGCCAUAUUGUAAAUUUCAUGUCUUCUUUUGACUAAGAUGGAUUUAACAAAAGUCUGGUUUGAUUUAAAUAAUUAAGUUCUAUAGUGUGUUUCUUCCUGCUAUUCGUUUUCUUUUCUUUCAAUUAUUUUGCGUGUAAGCUUGGUCAGAUCCUCGCCUUGAUCAUUUUGGAUACCCUUUCAAGUUUGUUCUUGGUUAAUACACUAUGUCAAGCAAUUUGUAGCAUGUAAUUUAUUUGUUUGUUUGUUUUGUUGAAGAUUUCUAGAAUCAUGAAGGAUGACUACCUCAUUUUGUUUCAACGCGGUACCUCCAUGAUCUUACAUCUUAUUGUUAAUCUAAACAUUUUGUAGUUCACUUGAGUUUUAAGUUCCCAUUUAUUUAUUUUUUUAGGUUUUGGAGUUCAUCCUUGUUAAUGUUUUUAAGUCGUUUGGCUUCUCAAAUGAAAUUGUUUUUUCGGAAAAAUGUCUUGAUUGAUUUGAGUAUUUUGUUCAAAUUAUUACUUUUUUUCUCUCUUUGAUCUUGAAUUCUUCCUUUAAUUCCAUUUGUUGAUAUUUUGUUAAUUAUUCUAGUUACAUACCUUCCUAGAGAGUCGCCUCAUAAUUGAUCUUCAACCCAUAGAGGAGAUUCUAGAUGCAUAAUUACUAAUGAUUAUAAUAACCUAGCUCAACUAGGCAACCUAAGUAUUUUACAUUUCAACGUAACAGCCCAUAAUAUGGCUCCUACUGUUAGUACCAGUAAUCAAGUUUUUUAUUUCUAAACUCCUGAUGAGCACCCUUUACAAAGAGGUGCUAGCUCUCUAAUUAAUUGGUACCUUAGUAUGAAUAAAUAAAUGCCUCUUGUUUUAAAAAAAAAUACUAUCUUACACAAAAGCAAGUGUUUACUGCGCUGGAAUUUUAUUUUAUUUAUAUUAAUGGUGCUUUCCUUAUUAUUAUUCAUUAAUAUUACUUUGUUAUAAAAAUGUCAAAUUACUUUGUCUCAUUUAAUGGGUUUACAUAUAUCUUUUUCUGCACGAUCUUAUUAUUCAUAACAUUUAUUAGCAUUUAUAUUUUACAAUAUCCUUGCUAAAAUUCUCAAUUCUUCUUUUGUUAGUCGUAGUUGUUGCUCAUUUACUAUAGUUUGCUUGAUUCCUUCCCUUAUUAUUCGAGAUGUGUAAUAGAUUGUAGUCUUUAAGUUUUAAGCUUUAAUCCUUUGUUUAGUCCUAAAUACAUGCCUCUUUAGUUGAAAAUGAUGCUUAAAUUAGUUGUAAUUUUUUACGCCUAUGCUUGCUCUAUUUCUUUACUUAAAGUCGUGAAAUUGUUUAACAUCUCUCUUUUAACCAUGUCUCAUUUAUUUCGAGGGAGUAGCAUCAUUUUGUUAAUUGGGUAUACUAUUUUGUUCAUGGGUUUAAAUUCUCAAGUUUAUUCAUUAUUACACGGGGUACUAUUGUCUCUGCAUAUCUUCAUGUUGCAUUUUUUAGAAGAAGACUUAAUUACAUUAGCUUCAAUAGCUCACUCUACUCUUCUUACUGAUAAUUGCUUCCAAAUUAUCAUUUAUGUCUAAAUAAUUUUUGCUAAAUCUACUUCCUCUAGUCACUAUUGGCCUCAUUGUUUAGUUAUCACUACUAUUUGAUGUUUUAUCUUAUUACGUGAAGUUAGUUUGAUUAAAGUGAAAGUUCAUUUAGUAUUGCAUGUUUUACUUUUAACAACUCGGCAGUAAACUAGUCACACAUUUUUUUAUUAUUUUUUAUUUUUGUGAGUUGGUAGAGUUAUAUAGAAUCAAAGUAUACUAUGUUAUUAAUCGCUAUUUUAUUUCAUUCUCUUCUAUGUUGGAAGCGUCUCUCCCGCGUCUCUGGAGACUCUUUCCCUCCCAUUUUGGAAGAAUCAUAAAGACUUAUACUUCCUUCCAUCAAGUCAAUACAUGUAUUAAAUGUACAUGUUUUGAAGAGGAAGAAGUUGAAGAGAUUGGGCCUCAAAGGACCAAAUUCAUUCGAAAGAUUAUUUUUCGGGCAUAUGCCCUUGUCGUAUUUAUUUAUUUAUUUAUUAUUGUAAGAUUAUUUUAGGAUAGGUACAAAAACAACUGGGUCAAAAAACCCAAAAGAAGUGGGUCCAAAUACCGUUCAAGGAAGACAGAUAACCCGAAUUAGGACCAAACUCUCUCCUCUCUCUCUCCUCUUGUAUUCU